Long non-coding RNA from Amphiprion ocellaris (clown anemonefish), 1837 nucleotides. RefSeq lists it as uncharacterized. The transcript has 3 exons. The record is from RefSeq and is a predicted model, not a curated record. Lineage: Eukaryota; Metazoa; Chordata; Actinopteri; Pomacentridae.
ACAUGGCCGAAGGGAAACGAGCCAAGACCUACCAUUUUCACCCUGAAUGGGAGGAAGAUUAUUUUUUUCGUUUACUCUCAUUCAAAGCCUAUUUGUUUGAUAUGUAAUGCGACGGUGGCGUUGGCAAAGAAAGGAAAUCUGGAGCGGCAUUUUAAAACAGUACACGGGAGCUACGAGAGGGAUUUCCCGACAAAAACGCCUUUGCACGCCACAAAAGUGAAGGAUUUGAAAGCACAGCUCGCAGCACGACAGUCAGUGUUCACCAAACCGAAGACCCAGGAUGAUAUAAGGCCGCAACUAUUGCUUCCUGUCGCGUCAGUCACGUCCUAGCUAAACACAAGAAGUCAUUCGGUGACGGCGAUAGUGUGAAGGAAGCCUUUCUCCAGGCAGCAGAUAGCUUGUUUGACGACUUUAAAAAUAAAACUGAGAUCGUGAAGGCCAUUAAAGAAGUGCAACUCUCCCGCAUUACUACUACAAGCUGAUGUGAGGGAAUGGCUGUGGAUGUGGAGGAGCAACUGAAGAAGGAUAUUGACGCUUGCGAAUGUUUUUCCUUCCAAUCUGACGAGUCGACUGAUGUGGUGGAUGUGACUCAAUUGUGUGUUUUCAUCAGGAUGGUUUUUGAAGAUAUGAACCCCAAGGAAGAGCUACUCACAAUUUUGCCAUUAAAAGGACAUACCAGAGGUGAGGAUAUUUUUAAUGCUUUCAUGGGCUUCGUUCGCUGAUCUCCAUCACAACUGAUGGGCCGCACCAUACAAAGCUAGAGGACCACCGGUGGCUUUUAGAUUUAUCUUUCCUCACUGAUCUGACUGGUGAGCUCAAUGAAUUGAAUUUAGAGCUGCAGGGUAAAGAUGUAGUCAACAUGAUGAGUUCAGUGAACACGUUUAAAAGCAAGCUACAGCUGAUGUCCAGCAGGCUGCAGCCUGGUAACCUGCACAACUUCCCUCACAUGCAAGCAGAACUACAACGUCAAGGUAAAGGUGUGACACAGCUUGACACUGCAUGUUAUGUUCAGAGCAUCUCCUCAGAGUUUGAGAGAUGUUUUACUGACUUUGCAUCCAUCGAGCCUGUAGCCAGCUGUAUGUGUUAUCCAUUUGGUGCAAGUAUUGAUGUCGGUUACAUUGCCGCCAAAGUCAAAUCACUUUUUGACCUGGAAAACUCCGCUCUUGAGGAUGAGAUUCUGACACAGAGAUCAAAGCCAGAUCAACAUCCGCUCAACCUGGAGAGCAUGUGGUGUUCUGGAAACUACUGGUGGAGGAGAAGUAUCCCAAUCUCAGAAGAUGUGCCUUGAACCUGACAGCUCUUUUUGGAUCACCUUAUUUGUGCGAGUCUGCUUUCUAACACAUGAAAAUCAUCAAGUCCAAGCACAGAUCAGCAAUGACAGAUGACCACCUUGCAGCCUGCCUACGCCUUGCAACCAGCUCCUACACUCCUGACUACGAGAAGCUAGCCUCCUCCUCCCAGUGCCAGGUCUCCCACUAAGGAGUUUGCAGUCAACCAAGGCCGACUCAGAAUCACUCCCACCGGGAAGAUCUGUGAAGGAAGGUCCACCCGGCUGGUCCAGAAGCUCCGGUCCAGCAGAGCAGCGUCAGGAUGGAGACGUAACCGGUGUUGAUGUCACCGCCUUGACGAAUAGAAGAAAAGCCUGUAUUUGGGUAUGUAGGACCGGUAGUCCAGAGGUAGUGAUGGUGCUUUGGAACCUGGAGAGUGCAGGUUCAAUCCCCCACUCUGCUCAAGCUUUUUUUUUACAUUUGGGCAAAAUUCGCCAAAAAUCUUCUUGAAAGAGAGUUAAGAAGCUUUGCGCUCUUUGCGCUCUUUGCGCUCUUUGCGCUCUUUGCGC